UCAACAAGCUCUUUGGACAGUCUCUAACUCCUGUAAUGCAAGAUUUGGAACAUUUGGUGGUGAGGAGACAACCAGAAGACUGCAGUCUGCAACCCAGAAGAAGACUCUCAUCCAAACCCAACCAUACUGACACCCUGAUCUUAGACUUCCAGCAUCCAAAACUUUGUAUGGCGGAUGCACCUGAAAGCAGUCACUUAAGCAUACCCUGAGAAUGACCUGUGGCCUUAGAAGAGUGUGUGUUCGGAGUCCUGCGCUAAGGAACCUGGGAGUGGCCAAUCCAGAGUUUCUUUCCUUGUCUAUGAAGCAUGUCUGAACCUCCGACCCAUCCCUUGGAAUGCAGGUUGUAUAGGGGAUUGAGGCCCUUUGUUAUGGGUUAGAUGGAGGGUGCAAAGUAAAAAUGCUAGGUAAACUGCAUGCUUUUUACAAACAGUAGGUGUUCUGUCCAACUCACCACCACUGAACAGUCCCUGUGGGUGCAUUCCCCCAGUAAACCCUAUAUAUCAU
Rhinopithecus roxellana (golden snub-nosed monkey) is the source of this 504-nucleotide long non-coding RNA. RefSeq lists it as uncharacterized. Lineage: Eukaryota; Metazoa; Chordata; Mammalia; Primates; Cercopithecidae. The record is from RefSeq and is a predicted model, not a curated record. The transcript is spliced from 3 exons.